RNAcentral lists this long non-coding RNA (316 nucleotides) under Gossypium barbadense (sea-island cotton). RNAcentral's name for it is "long non-coding RNA (GBAR_LNC005922)". Lineage: Eukaryota; Viridiplantae; Streptophyta; Magnoliopsida; Malvales; Malvaceae. The record is from RNAcentral.
ACCAGAAUUAUUGAAGUAAUUCCUAACGACUUCUUUAUCGCCCCCACCGACUUCUUCCGCCUGAAGACGACGUCGGCGUUCCGGGUCAGUGAAGGAGAGAACCGCUGCUAAGGCAGCGACUGAACCUCCACCUAUGAGAGCAACAGUGGUGCUAUCCAAAACGGAGAGGUCGGUAACCGAUGUAGCGGUGGAUAAGGGUGGAAUGGCCGCGACUGUGGUGGUUGUUACGGUUGUUUUCAGUUUGUUAGGAAGUUUUGGAGGGAAUGUAGAGAAGAAUCUAGAGUUAGUGUGGAAAUGAAUGGGAGAAGAUAGAGAG